Molecule: ribosomal RNA, 1203 nt
Filed under: bioreactor metagenome
Description: bacterial LSU rRNA
Rfam family: Bacterial large subunit ribosomal RNA
Source: RNAcentral
GAUAAUUUUCAUAGUCGAGAGGGAAACAACCCAGAUCCGCAGCUAAGGUCCCAAAGUAUAGUUAAGUGGAGAAGGAUGUGGAGCUGCUUAGACAACCAGGAUGUUGGCUUAGAAGCAGCCAUUCAUUGAAAGAGUGCGUAAUAGCUCACUGGUCGAGUGGCUCUGCGCCGAAAAUUUAACGGGGCUAAACUAUACACCGAAGCUCGGGAAUGCGUAAGCAUUGGUAGGAGAGCGUUCUAUGCGGGGUGAAGUCGCAGCGUAAGCGGCGGUGGACUGCAUAGAAGUGAGAAUGCCGGAAUGAGUAGCGAGAAUUAUGUGAGAAUCAUAAUGGCCGAAUGACUAAGGAUUCAGAAGGAAGGUUCGUCCGCUUCUGGUUAGCCGGGAGCUAAGGCGAGGCCGAAAGGCGUAGUCGAUGCACAUACGGUAGAGAUUCCGUAGCCAUCUGCAAUUUAAGCAAGGGGACACUUGAGAAGUGUAGUAACGGGGCGUUGGUUGACCUCGUUAGUGCGCGGAUUGAGGCGAGAAAAGCCUUGUGUAUAGAGCAGAUGCCCGUACCGCAAACCGACACAGGUAGUCAGGAUGAAGAUUCUAAGGCCAACGGGAGAAAGGUAGUUAAGGAACUCGGCAAAUUGGCCCCGUAACUUCGGGAUAAGGGGCGGUGCUUCAAGCACCCGCAGUGAAUAGGCCCAGGCGACUGUUUAUCAAAAACACAGCUCUCUGCUAAAUCGAAAGAUGACGUAUAGGGGGUGACGCCUGCCCGGUGCCGGAAGGUUAAGAGGAAGGGUGAAAGCUCUGAAUUGAAGCCCCGGUAAACGGCGGCCGUAACUAUAACGGUCCUAAGGUAGCGAAAUUCCUCGUCGGGUAAGUUCCGACCUGCACGAAUGGCGUAACGAUCUGGGCACUGUCUCAACUACCUACCCGGCGAAAUUGUAGUACCGGUGAAGAUGCCGGUUACCCGCGGCAAGACGGAAAGACCCCAUGGAGCUUUACUGUAGCUUGAUAUUGGACUUUGGUAUUCUAUGUACAGGAUAGGCGGGAGACUGGGAAGCGCAGACGCCAGUCUGCGUGGAGUCGCCCUUGGGAUACCGCUCUUAGAGUACUGAAGUUCUAACCUGCGGCCGUUAUCCGGUCGGGGGACAUUGUCAGGUGGGCAGUUUGACUGGGGCGGUCGCCUCCUAAAAGGUAACGGAGGCGCUCAAAGGU